GGGUGCUCCUUUUACGAUGUUUUCCCAGCAGCAUGCAGGCAGCAGUAGCUUCCUUUGAUCAUUUUUCAGUUUCUGUUAUUUGCUAGUGAGAGAAAGUUUAUACCUGCUUGUGGGGACAUGAGUGAAGAAAGAGAGGGGACUUUGAAACAAGAGAAGAGAGCAAACUCAAAAGGUUUUUCAUGGCAGCAUGUGACAAGAUGAUGCUGAAAAAUUUAUAUGGAAAUUCAAAGGAUCAAGAAUAGCUGAAACAUCACUGAAGAAGAACAAAGUGGGCUGAACUCGCUCUACUAGAUAUCAAGAUUUAUAAGCAACUACAGUAUUUAGGACAGUGUAGUAUCGGCACUGGGAGAGAAAAAAAAAAAAAAAAACUAAAAGGAAAAAGAGCCCAGAGACUGACUUUUGUGUAUGUGGACAGUUUGUUUAUGAUGAAAGUACCACUGCUAUGCACUGUGGGAAAAUGUCCUCAAAGAAUGACACUAGGGCAACUGGGUAUCCCCAUGUAAAAACAAUUAACCCUAAUCUCACAUCACACACAAAAAUCAACUCCAUUUGGGGUAUAUACUUAAAUGGAAGGUAAAACUAUUAAUAUAAAGUUUAUAGAGAAUAUUGUU
Homo sapiens (human) is the source of this 611-nucleotide long non-coding RNA. Ensembl annotates it as long intergenic non-protein coding RNA 1765. Lineage: Eukaryota; Metazoa; Chordata; Mammalia; Primates; Hominidae. The record is from Ensembl.